This 497-nucleotide ribosomal RNA is filed under the name uncultured bacterium. RNAcentral's name for it is "partial 16S ribosomal RNA". It matches the Rfam family "Bacterial small subunit ribosomal RNA", at positions 28 to 507 of the family's 1533-position model. The record is from RNAcentral.
GAUGAACGCUGGCGGCGUGCCUAAUACAUGCAAGUCGAGCGAACGGACGAGAAGCUUGCUUUUCUGAUGUUAGCGGCGGACGGGUGAGUAACACGUGGAUAACCUACCUAUAAGACUGGGAUAACUUCGGGAAACCGGAGUUAAUACCGGAUAAUAUUUUGAACCGCAUGGUUCAAAAGUGAAAGACGGUCUUGCUGUCACUUAUAGAUGGAUCCGCGCUGCAUUAGCUAGUUGGUAAGGUAACGGCUUACCAAGGCAACGAUGCAUAGCCGACCUGAGAGGGUGAUCGGCCACACUGGAACUGAGACACGGUCCAGACUCCUACGGGAGGCAGCAGUAGGGAAUCUUCCGCAAUGGGCGAAAGCCUGACGGAGCAACGCCGCGUGAGUGAUGAAGGUCUUCGGAUCGUAAAACUCUGUUAUUAGGGAAGAACAUAUGUGUAAGUAACUGUGCACAUCUUGUCGGUACCUAAUCAGAAAGCCACGGCUAACUACGUG